CUCACAGAGACUUUCAGAAGGAAGGUUAAAGUGAAACCUCAGUUGUCCUCUCAGGUAGAUGCAAUCGAUGGCACAGAGCUAAUUUAAAGAAAAAUAAGGAAUCACGAGUUUAAAAAAGUCAAGUUUAUUGUCAGUACCACACACAAAAGUGCUGGAGGAACUCUGCAUAUCAGUUGGAAAUGAAUAAGCAGUCGACGGUUCAGGCUGAGACCCUGCUCUAUUGUCUUCUGCACUGGCCUCCCAGAACAAAACAGAGACGCUUUCCAGCUCGUUGUCCAUUGGUGUGUGCUAGCUGUUACGGAACGCUGCAUCGCUAACUGCAGGGGGACCAGGAGAGCUGCUCAGGGUUCCUCACUACAUCAGGAAGGGAGUGUGAGCAGAGGAGACGACUGAAGGGGAUCUCUCAGUGGGGCACUUGAUUAUUGUCUGCUUGGGUGGGGCAGGAUGGGCACCCUGAGAGCUGAGGUGUUGGCGUUGGGUGCAAGCUCACUCCAGAAGCCAGAGGACAGAAUCCAGCUCUCAUAACCCCCAGGAAGAAAUGCAGAUACCACCAGAUCUGUAGGAAGUCUCUUUCUGCCCAACUGAAUCCUUGUAAGGAAAAGAACGUCUGAAUCUAAUCACUGUCCUACUUUCUGCACUGAAAGGAAAUUGAACUUAAGUCUAUAGCUGUGACAUCUGAUGCAAUGCUCUCAUACUUGUCUUUAAUUUGAUUCUGGUAAAUGUAUACGGCAUUUCUUCUGUGUCCAAAGAACUCUUCCUGAAGUUUAGUGGUAGGAACUUUUUCUAAUAAAUUUAUGGGACCUAGGCACCACUGGCAAGACCAGCAUUUAGUUCCCAUUCCUACAUGGCCUUGAGAAGGAGGUGGAUUAAGGAGUUACCUUCCUGAGCCUCAUGAAUCUACUGCAGAACUGGAGGUGGUCCUACCACUACCCCGAGCAACUGGAUUCCCAAUCCCACUGCCAUCCUCCAGUCUGAACCCCUUUUAUGCUCGGAGGAUGUUUGGUAUUGGCAUUGCUUUAUAAUUCUCAUAUGUAGUGAGACAGAGCGAAAAACUUAACCAUUCAUACAGAUCAUUUCAAAACGUAAGUACUUUGAGGUCGUACAAGGGAAAAACAAUAA
Mobula hypostoma (lesser devil ray) is the source of this 1119-nucleotide long non-coding RNA. RefSeq lists it as uncharacterized. The record is from RefSeq and is a predicted model, not a curated record. Lineage: Eukaryota; Metazoa; Chordata; Chondrichthyes; Myliobatiformes; Myliobatidae. The transcript is spliced from 3 exons.